CAGAAGUUAAGUAAUGCCUACUUUCUUAGAGCUUUGAAGGCUCUUGGUCUGUGAAUAACCUAAACUUCU
This 69-nucleotide transfer RNA is filed under the name Dipus sagitta (northern three-toed jerboa). Its description in RNAcentral is "tRNA-Trp". Lineage: Eukaryota; Metazoa; Chordata; Mammalia; Rodentia; Dipodidae. The record is from RNAcentral.